Molecule: long non-coding RNA, 4760 nt
Filed under: Gallus gallus (chicken)
Lineage: Eukaryota; Metazoa; Chordata; Aves; Galliformes; Phasianidae
Description: lncRNA (ENSGALG00010002799.1)
Source: RNAcentral
AGGCUGCAGCGCAACGAGCGGAGAGGAGGUAAUUGGCAGCAAUUGGCGGCCCCAGUCCGCUGACCUGUUAAUCUGCUGCCACCAGCGCUCAGCCAGGAAAGGAGGGGAAAGAAAUAAAAGGUGGCUCUGAGCCUGCCGUGCUGUGAGGAGCUCAGGAUAGGAGCCACGACCGCCCCCAGACCGACCUUGUUCUACCGAAAGUGGAAUUCAGGAUGACUGAAAUGAAUGUAACUCCAAAAAAAAAAAAAAAAAAAAAAGAAAACCCAAAAAACUCAAACAACCAAAUGUGUACAUAUCAUCGUGCAAAAAUGGUCAUUUCAUCACUCACUGAUGAUCAGCUCUGAUUUAUUUGAACAGACUCUUAGCGUCUGCCUUUCCUUCUCACCCAGGAGUUGAGUUCAGCAGGAGUUUUUCUUGGGCAAGGUCUUCAGGCUCUGACCCAGACAUAUCCAUCUGCAACAACAACAAUUGGAAAGGGCUGUGUACACUGUAAUAGCAGAGUGGAUCAGAAAUACAGUGGAAGACUUUAAGUUUCCAUUCCAUCACAGUCUCCUGUGCUUUGACAUUUAGAAAUUUUUAUGCACAGUGUUAGAAACGUCCCAUGGAGGGGUGGGAAAACUCAGCACUGCAGCCUAAACUCAUCUAAAUGUCCCAUGAUGGCAUCUGAACACGUCCUUGGAAGAAUGUGUUGGUGUCAUUUGCAUGUCGUUCCGACUUCGUUCACAUGAAUAAUGGAAUAACCACAGUGGUGCAGCCAGAACAAAUGUCAUACUGAAUCCAUCAGGCAGGCAGCAACGUCAACACCACUGGGUAUUCACUGUGUUAAAACAGGGCUAGGACGCUUGGACCAGUGAGAAAGCCACCUGGUUGGGAUGUACCUCUCAGCAAUCCCCCUGCUUACCAGCCGUUUUUCCUAAUGGCAUUUCUUUCAGGUUGCUGCCUCUUCCAGUUCUUCUCAAUGUGCAACAUCACAGCUGUAUGGCUGCGAAACAGCAUGGAAAGGGACAAAUCCUCAGGAAUUUUGGAUCUGCAACCUUCAAUCAGCAUCAGGGGAGCUGUCCAGGCUCGGAAGACAUCCAUCAAGUUCUUACUCCAAAGAAAUCCUCUGUCAUCUGCCUCAUCCCGUACCCUCUGAAGCCAGUGGGAGUCCUACCAGAUAAUUCAAUAGAAAUUGGCCCAGGACUCACCUAAAACACACCUGUUCCUUACUACAUAGAGUGAUAAGCUGCUAGGUUUGUUUUUUAAUUGGACACUUAAUACCAGCUUUGGCAGGUGAUUAAACUGUGAUUUACUUCCAAGGGAGAUAAGAAGUAAAUUUCAAAGGAGUUCUGGAUAGGUGGUUUAACAGCACAGUGAUUACACACGGACAUUUUGGAAGAACGGGGCAAGGUAAGGAAGAACCAGGCAUGGGAGUUAUUUUUGUUCCUACACUCGGAAGACUACAUGAGAUUAGAAAAAGACAACAAAUCAGAGAAACGUUUAAGUAGUUAGAAAGUAAGGGAUUCUGAUUGGACAUCAAAAUUGCAUAACAAAUGUUUAAUCAGGAGCCAACGAGGAAUGUGUUUCCUCUCCAGCUGAAGUGGAAGUGGCCAGUGCUAUCAGAACGUCUAUGUAUACAAAUCAAACAGUAAAGCUUAGCUGUCUCCCUUGGGUAAAAUAAAGAGGCAUGAAGUAGGGACUCGUCAGUCAUCAAAGCCCUUAUUAAUAGCAACUGCAGCUUAAGGAGCGUGGCUUCUUGUUGUUGCAAGCAGGAAGUUACAGCACUCCAAUGAGAAAGCAAACAUUUCAUUUCGUGCAAAGCAAGCAUUACAUGACAGAAUGAAGGAAAAAGAAAGUUUGGGGAAAACAGAUUAAACUAGAAGACUGCACAUGGGAUAUUAGUAAAGCUGGUUUUUUUUUUGCAUUCUGCAUGAUAAGAAUAUAUUAUCAAGCACAGUAUUAAAAUAGUCUGACUGGUAAAGGGGCAGAUCUGAAAUGAGGAAUUAGCAAUGCUUCACACCUGUCAAUAGAUGGACUUCAUCUGCCACACUCACCUGGUUUCUCUGCAAAUUUUUGAUAUUUUGCAAGGACUAAUUUCAACUGUAUGCUUUUGUUCAGCUGGUUGAGAUUACUGUAGACUUCCUUGUGAAGACGUUAACUGUAGUCCUCUAUGUAGAAGGCAUUGUAAGUAAUGAAGAUAAAUCAAUGACAGGGCCCAGAAUAGUCUAUCCUCUGUACCCAGACAUGAACUAUUGGAACUGUUUUGGGCAUAGAACAAAGUGCCUGAAUGUGGCUACUGUUUUGGGCUAGGCUAUCUCUACUGAAGCUUUCUUUUUCUCUACUUCGCUUGUGUUUCCGCAUAUCCAACAUGAAUAUUGUUCUAUUGUAAAUGAGAUGUAGGACAGAAAUAACAGAACAGCAGUAACAGAAGCGACAGAUAUUUCCAUAUGAAGAUAUGGUUGUUUUGGGAUGAAACUGCAAAAUGGAAGAGCGAUUUGAUAUGAAUUAGAAUAUGAUCUGAUGCCAAAGUAAAAGCAGCCUCAGACACUAUUAAAGAGGUUUUGCACUUGGCUCCUGGCAGCACUAAUUUAAUCAUUUUCAUCUGAGUAAUAAAUACAUUUUUUAGUUUUUUUGUUUUUUUUUUUUUUCCCUGAGAAUACUGAAAAGAGCAACACUCUGCAUGGUGUGUGUAAGUAGGUCAAAAACUGCAGUAAUUACAGAAUAAUGGCUUGGAAAGGCAGUAUUUCAGGACAAGGUGUUUCAAGGCAACAACUUCAGUAGUAAGAAUGACAAUGGUAUUUAUUGCAGGAAAUCCCUUGCAAGAAAAAUAUCUGCCUAUUACAGAUGGCAAUAAAGUAAAAAUUUUGCCUCAGGCAUAUUUCUUCCUAAGGCAGAUCAGUAAAUAUCUGAGUUGCAGAAACAUUAAAAUACCUGUAACUAGUAAGAAUUUACAGUUCUACAAAAACGUUGUCAACAAUAUGUAGAGGUGCUUUAGAGAUAAGUAGGUAUUUACCUAAGAUUUAUGGAUUAUGGCAUUUCGUGACACUGUAAAAUGUGGGGAAUCUGAGCGCACAAUUAUUUAACUGGUCAGCCAAAGGCUCUCCUCAGACUAUUAGGUGGUGCCAUACAUCACUGCUGGGCUUAUUUCCUUGAAAGGUCCUGGAAAAGGUGUUGUAUAUCACAAACAGCCCAUGACCUCAGAAGCCAGACUGCGAGCGCCUUUUCCUCCAUUAGCAGUCAAAGUUAAUGCCCUUUGUGCGUGUGUUUUCUUUUCCCGAAAUAAAUUAAUUAGCUUUGAGAUCCUUUUUUCCAGAUUGAAGCCAUGACCUCCGCAUUAUGAUGGUGUUGGUAAUCGACUUUAUUUUGAGUCUGAUGAUUCAUCAUGCACUCAUUAUAUGUGAUUUUCUUGUGCGCUCGUAUAAUUCAUUAGAAGGAAGUGGAGUUAUGUGCACCUACUUAAAAUGGGUUGAAGGAGAAAUCAGCCACAACAAUUUACUGCUUUCGUACAGCAUGCUUCUAGUGUUUGCUGACUUUGAUGAAGUCAGGAUUCUUCCCCCACAUUUCACAGCUAUUUAGCAUACAGAGGGCCUUGGGUAUUGUGGAGGUUGUGUUAGCUGCCUUUAGGUAUUGUGUUGCCCCAAAGGCACGUUAAACUCUGUGCUCCGAGACCAAAAUACAUUGAUUAAGUACAGGAAGGUAAUUAAGACCUGUAGCUUUGGAAGUGAUCUAUCCAUUCAUAAAUGACGCCUUGUUUCCUGUUCCCUCCUUUCCCUUUCACCUUCCCAAAGGAGGAAUGACACUCCAUGGCCUAGGUCUGUACGUUACUGUGCAUAACUCAAGUGCAAAAUGGGACACUGAUCUCCUGGAGGAACCACAGAAAGGAUGAAACCAAAGUUGUCCUGGGAGCCAGAGCCCUACCCUGGUGGGAUGGGGUCAGGGAUCCAAAGGGAAUUUGAGAAGAAGCUACUGGAGAGACCAAUCUGCAUGGAGAUGUCAAGGUGGUGUCUCUCUUUUUCAUGGAAAGGGACAUCAGGAGCUAAAGGAAAGAUCUUAUUGCUGGAAACUGUCUGAAAAAUGAAACAGCAGAGAAACCAAUCGACACAGAGGAAUUGCAGCAGCCAACGAGAAUGGAGGGAUUUGCAUAUCCAGACAGAAGCUGCUGGGAAAGAGCUGCAAAGGGAUUAUGUAAAUCCCUGAUUGGGUGAACGUGGCUGAUUGCCAGAGUAGGGGAUGCACACACUGCACCGUACCUGGGUAACGAUUAUGCAAAUUGCACACCCCCAGCCAGAGAGCAGGGCAGUUGGCUAGAUGAGGGAAAUUGCAGUUCCGCAUCAGUAAAUGCCCAGCGCUCCUCAAUCACACCUCACUGCAGGACGGAGUCAGCACAGGCAGGAACCUCUGACAGCCCCACCGCAUCCAUCAGAUGCUUGGGCGCCCUGUCGAGCAAAUGGGUCUUUGGAUUGCCAUUUGCAUUUACAGAGACUCUAGCAUCAAAGGGAUAAGAAAAUGGAAGCUCAAAUGAGGACUUCUCCAUGUUGCCUGCAGUUGUGUGAUCCUGGUGCAAAUCUAUUCUUGGUCAAAGAAAGAAUGCAAUUGCCAAACAGAUGAGCUCCAGCCUUAACUUACAGGGGAGAGAUCUGUAGAGACUGGUGGUACAAUCAAUACAUCUGAUUUUUAGUACUUACAUAUAAUAACAUCUAUUCUGUGAUUUUUGGAAAAGCAAUGACAUAUAGAUUAAUAAUAAGAAGACGACAUUGUGCAGACAUAAUUACAAUCUUAAU